UUCAUUGUCCUGUUUGGAGAGCUGAGUGGUGUGAGUGGGUGUGGUGACCGAGUGUCCUCCCUCCUCCCCCUCUGUGCUGAGACACUACAACACAGACACUACCCUCAACACAUCAAUCUCCUGGAGACACUGCUCAAACUGAUGAGAUGGGUGAUAAAAGGAUACUCGUUGUAUCAUUCACACUGUAAAAAGAGAUGUGCCAUUAUAGCACGCGUGUAGCGUGUUACACAUGUGCCAAACUCUUAAAGUGUGUUAUUUACCCUCUAGAAAGGUUUAUCACAGUUAAAAGUAUGUCAUUUUGACCCACUGAAAACGACCCAUUACACAUGUGUCGUUUCUUAUGUACAUUACAUAUAAACAUGAUUGUUACAAGUGAUAACACAAUCACUUGUAAAAAUCAUACUUCAUAUGUCCCCCUGGCCCAGGCAACAAAUGUGACAUAGUAAAUAAAGGCAUUAAGACUGUUUAAAUGGUAGCUAGCUAGUUAGUUCAACCAAGUAUAGUACAGUACAGUCGAGACAACUGUUCACUUCAAAGAAUUGAACUGCUGGAACCACCCUCAACUCUGAAACUACCCAGUUUUUCAGUGAAUUGAUAGACUCUACUUGUUUUUUUGGCUGAUGAGUCAGUAAUUCUCCUUUCUCAACAAUGGCAGACUCCUUCGAUUGUGAUAGUGUACGAAACAGAGGGCUCAAAGGUAGGCCAUCCUAACCACCCUCCAAGUGAGCUAGCUGUCUGAAUCUUAAUACUGGUCCCUGUCAGGGCACAAAUUUGAGGUAUAGGCCUUCCUAACCACCCUCCAAGUGAGCGCUAGCUGUCUGAAUCUUAAUACUGGUCCGAAAUAGGUGUGAAGUACAAGUUCAAAGGACUAAAGGACUGUAUAGUAAACACUUAUAAUGGAAUGGAUGCAUGCAUGCAAGUUUUGCAAACACUUCUGUUUCAUUUUCAGUUACUAUAGACUCGUUAUUAUUGUUUAUUAUUGAAAUGGCGUUAAUUGGAAUGAUUAAUAACACGUGCCAAAAUGACCCGCUAGAAGUGGGUCAAAUCAACACACCUUCAAUUUGACAUACGUGUAGCAUGUCAUUUGGAGGGACAAUCAAAUGACACGCGUGUCAGUGUUAAAACAACCCACU
Long non-coding RNA from Halichondria panicea, 1133 nucleotides. RefSeq lists it as uncharacterized. NCBI's taxonomy places the organism in Eukaryota, Metazoa, Porifera, Demospongiae, Suberitida, Halichondriidae. The record is from RefSeq and is a predicted model, not a curated record. The transcript is spliced from 5 exons.